RNAcentral lists this ribosomal RNA (274 nucleotides) under uncultured bacterium. RNAcentral's name for it is "partial 16S ribosomal RNA". It matches the Rfam family "Bacterial small subunit ribosomal RNA", at positions 523 to 796 of the family's 1533-position model. The record is from RNAcentral.
AUACAGAGGGUGCAAGCGUUAAUCGGAUUUACUGGGCGUAAAGCGCGCGUAGGCGGCUAAUUAAGUCAAAUGUGAAAUCCCCGAGCUUAACUUGGGAAUUGCAUUCGAUACUGGUUAGCUAGAGUGUGGGAGAGGAUGGUAGAAUUCCAGGUGUAGCGGUGAAAUGCGUAGAGAUCUGGAGGAAUACCGAUGGCGAAGGCAGCCAUCUGGCCUAACACUGACGCUGAGGUGCGAAAGCAUGGGGAGCAAACAGGAUUAGAAACCCUUGUAGUCC